CAGCCUACACAUGCAGUCGAACGAACUCUUCGGAGUUAGUGGCGGACGGGUGAGUAACACGUGGGAACGUGCCUUUUGGUUCGGAAUAACUCAGGGAAACUUGUGCUAAUACCGAAUGUGCCCUUCGGGGGAAAGAUUUAUCGCCAUUAGAGCGGCCCGCGUCUGAUUAGCUAGUUGGUGAGGUAACGGCUCACCAAGGCGACGAUCAGUAGCUGGUCUGAGAGGAUGAUCAGCCACACUGGGACUGAGACACGGCCCAGACUCCUACGGGAGGCAGCAGUGGGGAAUCUUGCGCAAUGGGCGAAAGCCUGACGCAGCCAUGCCGCGUGAAUGAUGAAGGUCUUAGGAUUGUAAAAUUCUUUCACCGGGGACGAUAAUGACGGUACCCGGAGAAGAAGCCCCGGCUAACUUCGUGCCAGCAGCCGCGGUAAUACGAAGGGGGCUAGCGUUGCUCGGAAUUACUGGGCGUAAAGGGCGCGUAGGCGGAUCGUUAAGUCAGGGGUGAAAUCCCGGGGCUCAACCUCGGAAUUGCCCUUGAUACUGGCGAUCUUGAGUAUGAGAGAGGUAUGUGGAACUCCGAGUGUAGAGGUGAAAUUCGUAGAUAUUCGGAAGAACACCAGUGGCGAAGGCGACAUACUGGCUCAUUACUGACGCUGAGGCGC
RNAcentral lists this ribosomal RNA (662 nucleotides) under Brevundimonas olei. RNAcentral describes it as "bacterial SSU rRNA". It matches the Rfam family "Bacterial small subunit ribosomal RNA", at positions 43 to 754 of the family's 1533-position model. Lineage: Bacteria; Pseudomonadati; Pseudomonadota; Alphaproteobacteria; Caulobacterales; Caulobacteraceae. The record is from RNAcentral.